Molecule: ribosomal RNA, 253 nt
Filed under: uncultured Clostridiaceae bacterium
Lineage: Bacteria; Bacillati; Bacillota; Clostridia; Eubacteriales; Clostridiaceae
Description: partial 16S ribosomal RNA
Rfam family: Bacterial small subunit ribosomal RNA
Source: RNAcentral
UACGUAGGUGGCGAGCGUUGUCCGGAUUUACUGGGCGUAAAGGGAGCGUAGGCGGACUUUUAAGUGAGAUGUGAAAUACUCGGGCUCAACUUGAGUGCUGCAUUUCAAACUGGAAGUCUAGAGUGCAGGAGAGGAGAAUGGAAUUCUUGGUGUAGGGGUAAAAUCCGUAGAGAUCAAGAGGAAUACUCAUUGCGAAGGCGACCUGCUAGAACAUAACUGACGCUGAUGCGCGAAAGCGUGGGGAGCAAACAGG